This 538-nucleotide long non-coding RNA is filed under the name Glycine max (soybean). Its description in RNAcentral is "long non-coding RNA (GMAX_LNC002743)". The record is from RNAcentral. Lineage: Eukaryota; Viridiplantae; Streptophyta; Magnoliopsida; Fabales; Fabaceae.
AGGGAGUGUUUGGAGGGGUUGGGACAUAAGGUUGGUUGCCAGGGGAAGGUGUUUUUGGAGGAGUGGGAACAUUUGGAGGACUAUAAGAAGGAGACGGUGUUUUUGGAGGCGUUGGAAUAUAGGGUGGUUGGUUACGAGGAGAAGGAGCAUUUGGAGGACUAUAAGCUGGAGAAGGUGUUUUUGGAGGAGUGGGAACAUUUGGAGGACUAUAAGAAGGAGAAGGUGUUUUUGGAGGUGUAGGAACAUAGGGUGGAUGGUUACCCGGGGAAGGAGCUAUUGGGGGGGCGUAAAUAGGAGAAGGUGUUUUGGGAGGUGUUGGAACAUUAGGAGGAGUAUAAACAGGGGAAGGAGUUUGUGGAGGAGUUGGAAUAAAUGGAGGAUGAUUAGUAGGUGAAGGUGCUUUAGGAGGAACAUAGGGAGGACUGUGAAUAGGAGAAGGUGUUUUUGGAGGGGUUGGAACAUAAGGUGGAUAAGGAAUUUUUGGAGGAGUUUGAGGAGGUGUUGGAACAUAAGGUGCUUUUGGAGGAGUAAUUGGAAC